RNAcentral lists this ribosomal RNA (514 nucleotides) under Uroctonites giulianii. RNAcentral describes it as "eukaryotic LSU rRNA". It matches the Rfam family "Eukaryotic large subunit ribosomal RNA", at positions 666 to 1138 of the family's 3401-position model. The record is from RNAcentral. Lineage: Eukaryota; Metazoa; Arthropoda; Arachnida; Scorpiones; Vaejovidae.
CCAAGGAGUCUAACAUGUGCGCGAGUCGUCGGGUCUUGAAUAGGCCCGCAGGCGCAAUGAAAGUGAAGGGCGACCUUGUCGUCGUCUGCGUUGGGAUCCCCAGUCCACCGAGUCUGGGGCGCACCAACGGCCCGUCCCGUCCGCAGCGUCGGUGGGACGGAGCGAGAGCGUACACGUUGGGACCCGAAAGAUGGUGAACUAUGCCUGGGCAGGACGAGGCCAGAGGAAACUCUGGUGGAGGUCCGCAGCGAUUCUGACGUGCAAAUCGAUCGUCAGACCUGGGUAUAGGGGCGAAAGACUAAUCGAACCGUCUAGUAGCUGGUUCCCUCCGAAGUUUCCCUCAGGAUAGCUGGCGCUCGAGGGAGUCAGUCUCAUCCGGUAAAGCGAAUGAUUAGAGGCCUUGGGGCCGAAACGACCUCAACCUAUUCUCAAACUUUCAAUGGGUGAGAAGUCCGGUUUACAUGACUGAAGCCCGGACAAUUCUCAGGAUGCGAGUGCCCAGUGGGCCACUUUU